This 106-nucleotide ribosomal RNA is filed under the name Mycoplasmopsis bovis. The record is from RNAcentral. Lineage: Bacteria; Bacillati; Mycoplasmatota; Mycoplasmoidales; Metamycoplasmataceae.
AUUAGUGGCCAUAGCAAAGGGGAUCGCCUGAUACCAUUCCGAACUCAGUAGUUAAGCCCUUUAGCGCCGAAGAUACCAGAGAUGGGAAAAUAGGGAGCUGCUUUUU